This 309-nucleotide long non-coding RNA is filed under the name Dicentrarchus labrax (European seabass). Its description in RNAcentral is "lncRNA (ENSDLAG00005033215.1)". Lineage: Eukaryota; Metazoa; Chordata; Actinopteri; Moronidae. The record is from RNAcentral.
AUGGAUCAGUGUGAGGACAGAGAGGAGGGAGUCCCUCCCUCUAAAAGCACUCUGUGUGGGGAACAUGACACAAGGACCAAAGCUCAGAGGAUCCAUCAGAGACCAGACUGUCCUGAACCUGAACCCAGCUGUGUGUCCAUGAAGAGUGAUGACUCUAUGGGUCGUUAUGAAGACUUCAAAGAUGGCCGCCACUCUGUUGAUCAAAGGAGGAAAAAACCUGAACCCAGCUGUGUGUCCAUGAAGAGUGACCGCUCUAUGGAUCAUCUUAUACACUUCAAAGAUGGCCGCCACUCUGUUGAUCAAAGGUGA